GGCGCGGCCGCCUCGUCGCUGUCUCGCGCUUGGCGCCAAAAGCGGCGGAGCGCCGCGGGCCGAGGGAGCGGGCUGGGGGCUGAGCGGCCGCGGCCUCUCGCGGGCGGGGCCGGCCGCUCCGUGCCGAGCGGAGGCAUGUCGGUGGCUCCACGGUGUGCCCGUGGCUGCCCCGGGCCGCGGCUGCUCUUCAGGCGCCGCUCGGCCCACCUUUCCCUCGGCUCUUGGUUCCUAAGUUGGCAUGGUGGCCAGGGCUGUCCUGUGUGGUAAAUGGUAAAAUGGGGGAAACGGUGUAUGGUGGCCCUGUGGCAGGUUGUGGCCUUUCUGCAGCCAGGUUCGCUUCUACGCGUUGAUAUCUAGGUGUUUUGCCUUCGCUGCUGGCAGAUGAGUUUCUCAAAAUUGGAUAUCCAUAUAAACCUUCAGCAGAAGCCUUGAGGUGCGGAUCGAAGGGGCCUUGCAACCGACCUUAGGGAAUAAUUCCCUGUGAAAUGUCUUUGUACUGCCGUAUUCCUUCCUCUUUCCAAUGUGUCUGGAAAGUCACUGGUAAAGUGCGAUCCAUCCAUCCCUUUUGGGCCUGCGUUUUCUGCCAUGUGUGUCCAAGUACAGGUGUCCAAGAAGUACCAUCCAUUUGCCCGCACUGCAUCCUACUGAUAAUUCUUGGUUACAGACCAGCUGAAAGCGUCUUGUUUGCAGUUUGUAACACUGUUGAUGAAUUUUUGCAGAGGUCCACGGGAACGUGUCUGACUCGAGGGCAUGAGGAACUGGCUGAGGGCACCAGAACUGUGUGGAACGGGGGGGAUGAGCCCUGCCACUCACAGGGAAGGGUCCUGCUGCCAGAUUAUUGCUCGUAGAAUUGCUGAGGUUGGAAAAGACCUUCAAGAUCAUCAAGUCACAGGAGAAUGAGGAGCUCUCAGGUACUUCUGGAGUGAUUGUGUGGGCAGGAAUUUUCCUUUCUAGACCUGUGCUCCGUUUCCCUGCAGUGUCUUCCUAAGUUAAACUGGAAGCCUUGGCUGUCUGCAGCCUAUGUGAAAUCAGCUCGGAAGGAUGGCAGUGAAAAUGGCUGAGAGCUGUAGGAAAAGCUUGGGGGAAUCUAAUGCUUUUGGAAUCUAGAGUGGUGCCGGGCAAGGGGCUUAGGUCUGAUUCUAAGUCCUUGUUUGUUUGUUUGUUUGUUUGUUUUUUAAAAAAGAUUAUCUCCAGGCUUAAGUUGGAUUGGGGAAUUUGCAGUAGACAAGUGACUCUAAGAGCAGCGUAUAGAAGUCAGUUUUAAGAUUUUAAAACGUAAAUGUACUGAUUUUUAAAACAAAUGAUAGAAAGUCAACUAUUUAAUAUUUCUUCCUAAUGUCAGUGCCGUUUAGAUUAGAUUUCUGAAAGCAGGACUCAAACUAGCUAUCAACCCUUACUUGCUGUCAAAAACAUGCAAAAAUACAUAUUGUCAAAACUAUUAUACUUUUAAGGAACUUGUUUUUUAAUUCUUACAUUAGACGCUUUGCUUCCUAAAGCAAAUGAUGAAUAUAAGCAAUUUGAUGUAGAUUCCUCAUUUUUAAUAUACUUGUAUAUAUAACACAAUAAAUCAGAAAUUCUGAAAGAUUGUUCUGUUACUUAAAAAGAAAAGCAUAUGUCAAGAACCUAUAUGAGCUAUCUGCAAUUUAAAUAGAAAAAGAGAGAAUGGAAGUUACUAAAAAUAAAACAAGAAAUAAAUUUGAAGUGACCCUUUGGAAUUUUCUUUAUGAACUAAGUAUAAAUCUAGGAAGACGCUAAGCAGAUUUCUCUGUUGGGCAGAACUGAAGUCAUGUGGAUGUCAUCGUUUGACAUUUCUCUGAAGUUCCCCUUUUUAAAUGUUUUAAGUAUUAGUGUAUUCUUGAAAGGCAGCAUUUUAUGUAAAUGGUUAGUUUGACCUAGUGUCAUAACAUCUUGUUGUCUUGUUGUUAAAGGUUUUUCACAAACUGGCACCAGCUCUACCUAGAAACUUUUAUACAGCAAGUAUAGUAGGCAAAAAGAUGAAAGAGAAAAGGGCUUCUGUCCCUCACGUUGCUUUUUGUCCAAGUUAAGAGCAAGUGCAGUGCAGAGCUCAAGUGUGCAGUUCUAUCAGUUUUAUUUUCCACCAAAGAAUAAGAUAAACUUUUCUAUCAUAAAGUAUGUGUACUCUGUAACUAAUAUGUAGUUAGACGUCACAGUUAAAAGAUUUCACUCAGAGCUCGGGUUUGCUUGUUUAAUUAAAAUUUUAUCUUGAGCAAGCUGUUCAUGUAGCUGAGCACUUCACUGUGUGGACCAAGAUCUCUGCAUCUUUUUACAGACUUCAGAUAAAAAGUGAAGUUAGUAAUUACUGUGGAGUAAUGUUUGAAGAUUCUUAAUUCUCAGGAUUUUGUAUCUGGAGUACAAAGAAGAAGAAGUAGAAAGCUGAGUAUUGCAGAAGAGGUUUACAGUAGAUUUUGGCUUUUACAGACACAGUUAGCCAGCAAGUAUGAGAAAUUUGGCCGUUCUUCAGCAGCGAUGUUGUCCUUAGCCGCUAAACGUAGAUGAAGCUCUGCAGUAGGCUGUUCUGUUCCUGGUAAGAUUUGCCCCUCUCUCUGACUGUAGUUUCUGGUAUCAACACAAAGCACAACUUGCUGACAUACUGUAGUCCACAGCAGAAGUGUUUUGCCAGCGUACUGGUAUUAAAAUGUCAGAGGGCUCUUAAGAUAGCUAUUAGUUUAGAUGCUGUUAGUCAGAUAUACACUGUUUUGAAAUGAAUCUUAGGAAAAUCAUGAUCAGCUAAGUUAUUUGAGAGGAGUAGGCGCAAAUUUUGUAAUCAUGGUCUGAUUAGGCAGUGGCCUGUCUCCACAGAAGAGAAGCAGUGGGAUACACACUUCUGCACCAUUUGAAAUUCUAAAGGGCAAAAACAAACUGUGUGGUUCUGAUACCAGACCCAGUUAAGGGAGGUAUGAACACUUAGCUGCCUAUUAGUCUGAAUACACACAACUAGAUUUCUGAAUGUGCAAACAUAAAGACUUCAGAUAAUCUGACCUGUAGUACUCUUAAUCUAAAUGAACAGUCCUGAAAUCUGCUUGCAGGUAUGAUUGCAGCUGGUAGCGUCUGGUUUGUUGCCUUUGCUUGUUUGACCUUCACCCUUCUAAUUUCAGCAUGCAGCUAAGAUCUGACUUGGACUCCCCUGCUUUUACAGCUGUAGCCAGGUUCACAUGAUCCCUUGGGUUUUAAUGGCUGGCUCUGUCUUAUUAUUAGAUGAUUUUCCUAGACCUCAAAUUUUACUGAGUCCCUACUUGGCGAAAUUUGUGCUGGAAUUUACUGACUUUUAAUCCCUCAUCCCUCCCCCUUUUUUUUUUUUCUGGAAUGUAUUUCAUUCAAUGUUUUGAGUGUUGUUGUUGCUUUUUUAAUAUAUUUUAGACUACCAUUACGAGCGUAAGCAGACUAAAACAAAGGAUGCUACAUGCCCUUGAGGCAUAUUUGUUCCACUUCUUUCUCUGUGUUGUGUAAAGGAAAGUAACAGGAAAAAAAAUGUAUUUUUUUUCUGGUAGGGGAAAUAAUACAGCCCAAGAUUCUCAGAACAAAACAGCCCAGCUUUCAGGUGAAACAGAAGAGCGUGGAGUGAUUAAGCACUGGGAAUUCCUUAACUCAUGUUAAAUUAAGCAAUGUGCCCUUGCUUCCAGGAACAGCUUAAUGGUUGUUCUCAGGUCUUUGUUAGUACAGUAAGCGCAGAUAGUGCUAAUGAUUGAGAACGAGGCAGUCCUAUCAAGACGCUGCAGUGUAUCCUGAACUGCAGAAUAAGUCAUAUCUGUCAGUCAGCUUAGCAAACAAGUAAGAAAUUCUAUCUGGUGGGUUAGCAAAGCACUUGUCUUCCUAAUAAUAGCUGUGCUCUUGAAAGGUCCUGCUUUGCAGAACCUCUCUGCAAAGGUGGAGUGUGGACCUUCAUUGCUGAAUUUUUUAAGUAACAAAUAGGUCAAAUGGAAAGAAAGCAUCAUUACUUGUUUUCAGCUCUAGCAUUUAGCCAGUUUUCAAUAUCUAGCUGAUUGCUUUGUAGUUAUGAAUAGAUUUUUUUAAUGAAAAACUAUUUAUUUUUUCAAUAAUACACUUUUCUUUUUUUCCUGUGAUAGACAAGUUCCUCUGAACUCAGUAAAAAUCAAUCCCUGGAAAAUAAUUUUUUUUUUUUGUCCUCAGCUUUGCGCAGAAGGUUUUUCUUUUAGCUUUUUGACUUUGAUAUUAGACCACGUUUCUGAUCUCCUUUACCUUUUGUCUGCCAGUUUAUUCUUUCACGUAUGCAGUUGCACACAGCUCCUCCAGUUAUAAUUAUAACCUGUAAGUUUGCUGCAUUGGGUCUUCAGAGAAAUGCUUGAUGUUUGUAAUUAAACUUUGCAGCAUAACAUAUCUUGCAUAAAAGCAUCUAAUUGUUUCAAUUACCUGUUUUUAUAGAAUGAUGUUUUAUACAUCUUCUGUUUAUAAGCUCCCUUUAAGUACUGGAAGGCCACAAUGAGGUCUCCCAGAGCCGCCUUCUGGCUGAACAAGUCCAGGUCUCUCAGCCUUUUUUCAAAGGAGAGGUGCUCCAGCCUUCUGAUCUUCCUUUUGGACCUUCUCCAACAGCUCAGUGUCUUUCUUGUGCUCUGGGCCCAAUGCAAAACGGUCGGGUUUUGUCCUGAAAAUGGGGACAAAGCUAGGAGGAAAAGUCUACCACCUGCAUGUGAUAACUGCAACGAAUAUGCCUUUGGAAGCAAGUUGUCUUGUUCAAAGUAAAAUCCAUAAAACUCUAGAGAGGGAAGACUUUUGCGUAUUAUCUCAUGAAUACAAUGAGCUGGAGACAGAGCAUCCUUGGAAAGAGAAGAGAAUCCCACAGUUCACCGACAGCUCAUAGAAUACUACUUGUUGUGAAUUAAGGAAAGGUCACAUACCAGAUGGAUGGUGUUCUCCUUCGAAAGUGAUUCCUAGCUAUAAUCUAAAUGGAUUUUUGCUCCCUUUUUGUUAAGGGCAGUUUUCUCCUACAGUGUCUGGAAGAUGUCCUUCAGAAUCACACUUGAAGAUAGAGCAGUUUUACUUGCCACUAGACUUUUGUGGUGUGAAGGCAAGUUCAGAAAUUAUGUGGUUUGGUAAACCGAUGUAAAAAAGCGUCUACUUGUGAAUUCACUUGCAAUACCACAUUGACAGAACUAUUGUGGUUGUUUCCUUUGCUUGGAAGUAAAACCAAUCUAUUAGCGCCUGCAUAUUGGUGAUACCUUAGGAGAAUGUUUAGAAGCCUCCUCAAUCCGUUUCUAGUUUGGGGCAUUCACUAACUGAACUCAUAGCAAUCUACUACAAAUCAUCUAUACACCUCCCUUCUUGCUGUUCUCUAUGAUGAUGGCUUGUCACUCCAUAAUUACAUUCUCAAGGAUAUUUCCAUCUCUGCUCCCGAUGUGUCUGAAGUACAUACAUUUACACCUAUUCAUUUCUGACAACCAAGUCUACUUUUGUCCAGUAAUAUCUUUAAUAGGAGCAUUUAUCUUCUCUUUCUGUUCAAGAGAUAUGUAAGAGCCUUUACUUGCACCACACUCAAAAGCUUCAAUUUUCUCCCUGUCACUAUCAAUAAUUUCUCUGGAUUCGCAUUCAUAAAUUGCUACAGCAAAAAAUUAAGCAUUUUACCAGUUAAGACUUUCUACUGUUUGAGGUGAAAUGUUUUUUUCAGGCUUAUAUAAGGAAAGCCAUGGCUGAACCAGCUAUUGUUCAAAAUGUUACUGUUUCUAUUGGACAGAUUCAGAUUGGAUAUAUUUGAUCCCAGAUAACUGAAUUUAUGAACAGUCUCUGUAGCCAGACCAUUAAGUAUAAAGUUAGCUUAUAUUCUAUCUUUAUUAAGUAUAGUUAUUGGUGGCAUAUUCAAAAAUAGCUUGUUUUUUUAAUUAACUUCUUAUUGGCUGUGUAAUGUUUGCUGCACAGUAGAAGCAGUUGUGACAAAGAACAUGAAGACAUCAGCCUGUGGUCACUUAAAGUGAGUCCAUUGCAAAUACAGCUUUUCAAUUCUGAAAUGUCCUUCCCCAGUUUUAUUUAUUUAUUUAUUCCCAGCCAGGUUAUAAGGAAAUCUGCAGUUAUCACAUCUGUAAUUGUAGCAUAUGGCUAUUUAUGUUUACUUGAUAUUUUUUCAAAAUCAAGACAGAUUUGGGGAAUUUCUAAGUUUAUGGGACUGCUUUUAAAGGAAAUACCACUGAGAAAACUAGAAAGUUUAGCCCAUGGCAGCUACCUGCCAAGGAGAAGAUUAUAUGAGCAGUCUCCCUCUUCCCCCAGUUAGAUGAGGGCUGAUAUAUGGUUUGUUUAAAAAAUGAGAACUUGCGGUACUAAAGUUCUGAUUAAAAGGCUUCUUCAGGAGAAGUAUUGAUUAUAUUCGUGUUGUUGCUGUUCCUAAUUCUUUCACGGAUGCAAUGCCUUCUGCUUGCAGUAAAGAAAAGGAUGAUGCAAAACUUUACAAAUGAGUAUAAACCUAGAAUUUACCGUUAUGAUGAAACAAAGAGAUGUGAUAAAUGGAUGUCAAAUCUCAGAGCUGUAGUGUAAUGAUGGGGUCAUUUCAUCAUGAUGGAUAGAUACGUCGUGUAGUAUUCGGAGUCUUCAAAAAGGUUUUCAUUUAUCAUACUCGUGGAAGUGUUUGGGUAUGACCUGAAGCAAAAGAAUCAUUACAAUUUGCCUUUGAACAAACUCAGGAAAUGUAUUGAUCAUAUAGGUUUAUGCUGCUAGUAAAACAGCUAAUGAUGAUUCAGUCUAUGUGUUUUGUGCAUAGCUUGAGGAGAUGUUCAUUAAAACCUUACAUCAUGUGUGCCACUACACCCUUUGGGAACUUGAAUGUAAAAGCUGGAAUUUCAAAACCUCAUUAAGAACAAUUUGAGUUUACGACAAUGGAAUAACAUAUUUGAAUUCUGAAGGUGUGUGGCCAUAGGUGAGAGAGGAAACUACAUCAGAUGAUAUUUGGAGUAAAAGGAAUGCUCUAAUUUCUAAAUGUGCUGGUGCAUAGUGUUCAAUAACAGCAAUACUGGUCAAUAAAGAUGAUGACUGAAUUUAUUUGAGCUAGUGUUCAAAUGGAUAUUUAACAAAGUGACCCAUGAGUGGGUUUCUAAGGGGAGGACAGAACACCAGGAAUGGAGAAGAUGAAGCCAGAAGUAGGCUAGACAAGGCAAGAGCAAGCACAGAAGUGAGAAAGCAUGGCUGUGACCGAUGUGAAAGCUUAACAAUACAAAUGUGUUCACAGUAGCAAGACUGUGAACCAAAAAUUCGAUGUGACUGGGUAUAGGAAAGUCCAUAAUGGUAACAGUCACUGGAGGUGAUGAUACUGAAUGCCAGCAGAGGGACCGCUGUUUGAAAAGUGGACUGAUAUGUAUCUACUUACAAUUUUACCAGCAUCUAAAACACUAUUUAUAUCCUGUCUGAAAUUGGCAAGGCAGCUCAUGUGUUCUCCAUGUAAUGUACUGUAACUACACUGUAUCAAGCACGUAAAUGUUUGCUUUCUUAACUAUAUCAGUACUGUUCUUUUUAUCUUCCAGACACAGCAUAUUAUGCCUAAUCUUUUGUAUUUUCAGUUAAGCAUGGGCUAAAACUGUUGGCUUCAUUUAUCUGAGACUAUUAAAAUUGCAGACAAAGGCUUCAGCCAGCACGUGAACAUUCAAGUUGCUAAUUUAUAUGUACCUGACUUUGCUUAUGGGAUGCCAUUGAUCUAUAUCUGAUUAAUAUUUUUUAAAUUUCCUUUGAGAUCUGCUCAGCAGCCAUCUGUAAUCCAGCACGUGGAGAAGAAAGCUGAGGGAGUCAGUUUCUUCAUUCCUUUUCCAAGUCGUUUAGCUCUGACACUGUCGUAGUGCACCAGGCUUGAUUUCCCCAUAGCCCAUUGCCAGAUGCGAGAAGUGGGAACACAGGAAGAUGUAUGAAUGAGAUGAAGAAAUGGGAGGAGCCGAGAUGAACGCAUGUGGUAGGGAAUCUGGAGCUGUCCGAGCAUAAGGGAGUUUCAUAGGAGUAAAAAACCCAAGGAGAGAUGGAAGGUGAAAAGAAGAACCCUGAGUGAAUUGCAGGUAUAUUUUAAAUAUCGUUAUUUAUGAUCAACAAGUACACUGCUGCCAAAUUCAAGCUGAACUGAAGAAGCCAAAUUCUGCACACAAUACCGUGUGAUGUUCUGUUAUUUAUAAAACUAGUUACACAUACAGUUAAUAUUUACUUAAUACCAAAAUUCCUUUUUUAGUUUGCAUAUUUGGAAGAUACAAAAAAUCUUUUCUGCAACUGGCUGAAAGAACUUGCAAGAUUUUUACAAAUCAGAGCAUACUAUUAAUAUUCAAAUUUGAAAAGAGAUUGUCGUGGAUUUUUCCCCAUUUACAUAAGAAGGGGAGUUCCAGCUCAGCUGAAGACUUGCAUCAAAAUACUUUGGGACUUUUAUUUCUGCAUCCCUGCUCGAUAUUUUGAUGUUCCCAUGGUUAGUAAAUGUCUUCUUGCUGAUUGUAGUGAAGAGCAUGUGUGUGACAGUGGCAACAGUUGUACAACCAGGUGGUAGAACCUGCCAGCCACAAAACAGUGAACCUGGCUAUGCAGAGUUGACAGGUAAAUUAAAAAUCUUGAAUUGUGGAAGUGUUAUUUCUCUUAUAUCAAUUCUAAUAAUUGGUUUAAACAUAAUCUAGAUAGGGAUUUGCUUUUUAGAUGCCUUUAAUCAGUGCUUAAUUUGAAAAGUAAAUGUGUAAGCAGCAGCAAUUAGGAGGGUCCAAAAACAUUUACCAGGAGUCAUCAGAAGCAGACUGCAUAAUGCUGCUGAGGAAAAUAACUACCAACACGUGUAUGGAUGACAGGAAAAUUUGCAGUUUGUUUUUCUGCCAAGUAUUUAGUUUUACAUUUCUAUUCUUCAAUACUGUGUAGUAUAGAUACAUAUAUAUUAUUUUUUGUAAGUUGAAAAUUAUCAAGUUUAUAACAAAAAUGACGUGAGGAUAUAAUUCUUAUAAAGGUACCCAUUGUUCUCUCUAGCCAUCAUCACUGCACAAGAGAUCACACCUCAGUAAUGGAAGAGGUGCAUCGAACAAAUCAAUUGCUCCUCUUUCAAUGUUAUUUUAAGCUGUGUUUUUUCUUCCAGGUUUUGGGGAACGUAGGCAACAGGAAUCAAGUCAUUCAAAAGAGUUCAUUGUCCAUUUGAAGAAAGCUUAAACCUUUUUUACAUGCUAGUUGUAUUAACAGUUUUUUUUUUGUUUUUUUUUUUGCCUAUUUAGAUGGGCCCACAUCCAAAUUGCGACAUCCUGAAUUGUGUGUGAGCUAAAUCUGGUUACAGAUACAAAUCUGAAUAUCAUGAGCAGGGUGGAGUGGAGCUAAAGAUCUGACUCCCUCAGCCUCGUGACUUGGAUUUGACAUGAGUUUGGCAUGUCCAAGCUAACCCUGAUUUUUUUACCUGGCCCCUAAAUAAAUGGGAAACUUAAAAAGUUACUGUCAUGUUUUGUAUCUGAAACCAUAAGGUGGUCUUCAGCUGCCUGCAGUACUCUAAAUUUGAGUUUCUUUUGUUGCUGGUGUUAUGCACUGGGAAAGAAUGUGGCCCGGUUUCCAGUGACGGAGGAUGUGAAAUGGUAUAAAGUAGAAGUAAAAGGUGGAUUAUUUUGAAGAGACAAAAAAAAAAUUGCAGGAAAGGAAAAAAAUAUAUAUAUAUUAGUUCCCCAUUCAGCAGUGACCAAAUAACCAUGGAGCCAGUUUCCCAUUUAAGUAAUUGAUGUUCUGCCAUGUGACAGUUACACCGAGUCACAUACUGAACAAAGGAUUUCCUUAAAAAAAAAAAAAAAAAAAGAAAGAAAUGUAGUUUAUGCAGCUGUUUUUAAAUACACAACACUCUCUGCUCCCUUCCCCCAUCUCCUUGGCUUCUUGUUUCAGAGUAAGGAGUAGAGCACACAAGUUAUUCAAGUUUAGAAACUAGUUAGUGAAAUUGAAUUCAUAAAUGAGUGCUAGUGAUUUUAGACCAUAAAAUAGAUCCUAAUUUAUUUUUACAAGCAGCUAGAAUACCUCACAGAUGUUCAUGACUGAGGUUAAGCUUGAAGGUUGCUAUAACCAGACAGGUUUUUUUGUAAAGCUGGUGACUGAGGAGUAUCAGCACCACACGGGAUACACAUAAAAUACCUAUGCUUAUAUAGCACCUACUUAUAUAAUGUAGAGUUUUGAACUCAGAAAAUUUUUGUGAAAUAUGAAGGUCUGGGUCAGAUCUGUAUUUGGAAAUAAAGCCUCUAAAAGAAACUCUGCUGAAAGAAAGCAAAUAGAUCUUUAUACAUUUUGUAAUCUGGUGUUAGUCCCUGUGAGGAAAACAUUUAUAAAUCACUUGUAACUGGCAGGCUGUUAACUUCUGGUAAAUUAUUUGAUCAGACAAUGGAGUAGAGUCUUUCUUGACAGGUACUAGUGUUUGUUCACUCAGAUGAUGUUAAUAGGUUGCUGAAACUAAAAUUCAGGGUCAUAAUUAAUACUACAGCUACUUAGAAAUUCCAUUCUGCAGCAAGGUCCAACAUUCUAAAAUCUGUGAAUGAGAGCAAUAGAAGAAUUGACAUCCCCAGACUUCCAGGAGAAUGGAAACACUGUGGGGUUGUGGGUUUUUUUUUUUUAAAUCUGGAAUAACUAAAAAGUUGUAAUGAAUUUUUAGUUGAAAUAUUACAUGAUUAAAAUAAAACAUUAACUGAUGGCUUUUUAAACUUUUCUUUACAAUAAAAUCAAAUAAAAAUUUA
Long non-coding RNA from Numida meleagris (helmeted guineafowl), 10652 nucleotides. RefSeq lists it as uncharacterized. The transcript is spliced from 2 exons. The record is from RefSeq and is a predicted model, not a curated record. Lineage: Eukaryota; Metazoa; Chordata; Aves; Galliformes; Numididae.